AUGGAUCCAGCAACGAUAACCACCGCGACGUUGAUGAGGAACGCCACGACGAAAGCAAGGCUGCACUCUAUGAGGACGUAUGUGCAACCUACUCUGAUGCUUUUGUCUGACCGUGGGGUCUUCCAUGAGAGGACCAGGGCAGAGUGCAAGAACAAGUUGUACCUGCAUAUGAUAGCGCCAAAGAGCGCCAUCGCAUUGGCAGCAGCACCUUUCCCUCGCAGAGAGGGGACAAACAUGCCCUUGGUCACAUCUCUAGCAGAUGGACUAAGGUAG
Molecule: ribosomal RNA, 273 nt
Filed under: Triticum aestivum (bread wheat)
Lineage: Eukaryota; Viridiplantae; Streptophyta; Magnoliopsida; Poales; Poaceae
Description: partial small subunit ribosomal RNA
Source: RNAcentral